This 465-nucleotide ribosomal RNA is filed under the name Vreelandella stevensii. RNAcentral's name for it is "partial 16S ribosomal RNA". It matches the Rfam family "Bacterial small subunit ribosomal RNA", at positions 338 to 795 of the family's 1533-position model. Lineage: Bacteria; Pseudomonadati; Pseudomonadota; Gammaproteobacteria; Oceanospirillales; Halomonadaceae. The record is from RNAcentral.
CCUACGGGGAGCAGCAGUGGGGAAUAUUGGACAAUGGGCGAAAGCCUGAUCCAGCCAUGCCGCGUGUGUGAAGAAGGCCUUCGGGUUGUAAAGCACUUUCAGUGGGGAAGAAAGCCUUGGGGCUAAUACCCUCGAGGAAGGACAUCACCCACAGAAGAAGCACUGGCUAACUCCGUGCCAGCAGCCGCGGUAAUACGGAGGGUGCGAGCGUUAAUCGGAAUUACUGGGCGUAAAGCGCGCGUAGGCGGUCUGAUAAGCCGGUUGUGAAAGCCCCGGGCUCAACCUGGGAACGGCAUCCGGAACUGUCAGGCUAGAGUGCAGGAGAGGAAGGUAGAAUUCCCGGUGUAGCGGUGAAAUGCGUAGAGAUCGGGAGGAAUACCAGUGGCGAAGGCGGCCUUCUGGACUGACACUGACGCUGAGGUGCGAAAGCGUGGGUAGCAAACAGGAUUAGAUACCCGGGUAGUC